GACGAACGCUGGCGGCGUGCUUAACACAUGCAAGUCGAACGCUGAAGCUCAGCUUUUGUUGGGUGGAUGAGUGGCGAACGGGUGAGUAACACGUGAGUAACCUGCCUCCUUCUUUGGGAUAACGCCCGGAAACGGGUGCUAAUACUGGAUAUUCACUGGUCUUCGCAUGGGGGUUGGUGGAAAGGGUUUUUCUGGUGGGGGAUGGGCUCGCGGCCUAUCAGCUUGUUGGUGGGGUGAUGGCCUACCAAGGCUUUGACGGGUAGCCGGCCUGAGAGGGUGACCGGUCACAAGGGGCCUGAGAUACGGCCAAGACUGGUACGGGAGGCAGCAGUGGGGAAUAGUGCACAAUGGGGGCAAGCCUGAUGCAGCGACGCCGCGUGAGGGAUGGAGGCCUUCGGGUUGUGAACCUCGUUCGCUCAUGGUCAAGCCGAAACAAUGGUUGUGGUGAGGGAAGUGGGGAAAGAAGCGCCGGCUAAUUACGG
Molecule: ribosomal RNA, 482 nt
Filed under: uncultured bacterium
Lineage: Bacteria
Description: partial 16S ribosomal RNA
Rfam family: Bacterial small subunit ribosomal RNA
Source: RNAcentral